AGCGAACGCUGGCGGCAGGCCUAACACAUGCAAGUCGAACGCGUGUAGCAAUACACGAGUGGCAGACGGGUGAGUAACACGUGGGAACGUGCCCUUCGGUUCGGAAUAACUCAGGGAAAC
Molecule: ribosomal RNA, 120 nt
Filed under: uncultured bacterium
Lineage: Bacteria
Description: partial 16S ribosomal RNA
Rfam family: Bacterial small subunit ribosomal RNA
Source: RNAcentral